Molecule: ribosomal RNA, 499 nt
Filed under: uncultured bacterium
Lineage: Bacteria
Description: bacterial SSU rRNA
Rfam family: Bacterial small subunit ribosomal RNA
Source: RNAcentral
AUUGAACGCUGGCGGCAUGCUUUACACAUGCAAGUCGAACGGUAACAGGCCUUCGGGUGCUGACGAGUGGCGAACGGGUGAGUAAUGCAUCGGAACGUGCCCAAUCGUGGGGGAUAACGUAGCGAAAGUUACGCUAAUACCGCAUAAGCCCUGAGGGGGAAAGCAGGGGAUCGCAAGACCUUGCGCGAAUGGAGCGGCCGAUGUCAGAUUAGCUAGUUGGUGGGGUAAAGGCCUACCAAGGCGACGAUCUGUAGCGGGUCUGAGAGGAUGAUCCGCCACACUGGGACUGAGACACGGCCCAGACUCCUACGGGAGGCAGCAGUGGGGAAUUUUGGACAAUGGGCGCAAGCCUGAUCCAGCCAUGCCGCGUGCGGGACGAAGGCCUUCGGGUUGUAAACCGCUUUCAGCCGGAAACGAAAUACGCCAAGGCUAAUAUACCUUGGUGGAUGACGGUACCGGAAGAAGAAGCACCGGCUAACUACGUGCCAGCAGCCGCGGU